This 1959-nucleotide long non-coding RNA is filed under the name Calidris pugnax (ruff). RNAcentral's name for it is "lncRNA (ENSCPUG00000014981.1)". The record is from RNAcentral. Lineage: Eukaryota; Metazoa; Chordata; Aves; Charadriiformes; Scolopacidae.
CCCAGUCAGAAAUGAAUGCAGGGAGUCAGGAGCUGCUUAUCCUGAGGUCAAGACGAGGUUCAGAAACCAACUGUCAGAGUUCACCAUCGCGGCCAACAACAUCUGUAAUCUCUAAAAUCUUUAGAGAGAGACAAGUUGGCAUAGGGAGGGGGUGUUUGCAACCGCAGUGGGUCAAAGCAAGGUCAGACCAACCUGCAGGUACCCACCACGUGCAUCCACGUUGGGAAGUCCUCCCUUCUGCAGCCCUUGAGACUGAGCAGCAAUUCCCUGAGAUCUUGACAUUUGGGUGCAAUGAACUAUUUGCAGCUGGACUGAAAACGCCUGGGGAGACUGGUGUGGGGAGGGGUGGAAGGAAGCAGGAGGAAGGAGGGAGAGUGGCUCAUCCCUGGGGCAGGGCAAAGGGGCUGCCACGUUUGGGGAAAGCUGUCGGGCUGCUUUUUUAUUCACAAACUUUUGCUUUGGGACAACAAGUGACGAACCAGCAGGAAAGUUUCCCACUUCCUUUUUUUUAGCCAGGCUCUGCACUUUGCCAGCUGCUCCCCUCCUGCCCUGCUCAGCUUUCCUAACGAAUUCCGAUUGAUUUUGCAAACAGCCCGGGCUCCGUGUUCCGGCCAAAGCCACCCCCUCCAGGCAGGGACAGCUCAUGCAACACUCCCUGUGGGUUGCAUCCCCUGCAAAUGUCCCGCUGGCAUUUUUUUUUCCUCUCUCUGUUGGGCAGCGCGUGGAUCAGCCACCAGGGACUACGGGAUGUACAAAGAAAUGUUGUGUUCUGGCAUUGCCUCCAGAGCAACCCGAAAAGGCUCCACAUAAAAGCACAGCACCAAGCACAGCCACCCAGGGGCUCUACACAAUGUUCUCAAGCUAUUUCUGAAGAGCUGUUUUGCUCUUUUUUACCUUAAUUUCUGCCAGGCUGUUCUGAGGGCGGGGAGCACUGGGAGUGCAAACUGGUGUGUCACACAGGGCGGUGGUUCAGCCACCAGAGACACCAACGGCUCCACUCGGUGCAAGACACAGCGUGGGGCUGUUGAACCCCGUUUUCCCUUCACUGGGUCUCCUUGACAACAAAUUCCAGUGGCCCGUUUUCACCCACGACUGACAGACCAGUCCCCAGCAUGGCCUGGACAACAGGACAGGCCCGAGCUCUCCAGUCCUGCUCUGCAAAGUGCUCUGCUGCAGAGUCUUCACCUCACAAGCGUCCCCAUUGCUUCGUGCCAGUGAUGACAACCCUGCUCAAGAAAAAUUCCAAGGAACAGACCAUCUAGUAGCAACCUGGCACCUCUAGCUUAACCCAAAACAUCAACCUAAUUUCUCCCCAGGCAUUACAGUGCUCCACCUCCUUGUCUGCAGCUUGGAUGCUGCCAACCUCCCUUCCCAAUGCUCUCUGCCCCUCUCCUUGGGUUCACCUUCCGAAAGCCAAAGCUGGUUUGAUGUUCCCUUAGGACUUCCUGCACACCUUACGUGUCCCCUCAUUCAGUAACGGCCAAGUGAACUCCCAUGGGCUGGGACAGUGGUGCCCAGCUCGGGCUAUGGUUCAGGGAGGCACCAUGCAGGUAUCAAGCAGGGCUCUACAACUAAAUCAUCUCUUGACUGCUGAUCUGAGGAAACCUCACACCCCCUUCUGAGGGCCACUCAGCAUGAACACAGCCAGUGGCCUGCAUCGCACUGCGAUGCGACAAGAAGUCAGGAGCUGGGCUCCAGCUCCACACCAUUUCACAGGAAAGAGAAUAACCAGCUUGUUUGCUCCUCUUCCCCACGUCCCUGACUUACCUGUCUGAGAAACCACGAUCUGGCUGCAGUCCUUGCUCCUUAUCCCACGUCGGGAGCACGUACCGCGUGGCUGUACGCAGAAAGGUGCAGGCAGGCAGGUUCUGCAGGGCUCUGGCCCUCCAAAAGUAACAAUGCAGUCACACUGGAUCUCCUGCAAAACAAUAAAAUGCCAGAAUUUGCUCUUGUUUGCCA